ACGAACGCUGGCGGCGUGCUUAACACAUGCAAGUCGAACGGAAAGGCCUCUUUCGGGGGGUACUCGAGUGGCGAACGGGUGAGUAACACGUGAGUAACCUGCCCUUGACUUUGGGAUAACUUCAGGAAACUGGGGCUAAUACCGGAUAGGAGCUCCUGCUGCAUGGUGGGGGUUGGAGAGUUUCGGCGGUUGGGGAUGGACUCGCGGCUUAUCAGCUUGUUGGUGGGGUAGUGGCUUACCAAGGCUUUGACGGGUAGCCGGCCUGAGAGGGUGACCGGCCACAUUGGGACUGAGAUACGGCCCAGACUCCUACGGGAGGCAGCAGUGGGGAAUAUUGCACAAUGGGUGGAAGCCUGAUGCAGCAACGCCGUGUGCGGGAUGACGGCCUUCGGGUUGUAAACCGCUUUCGCUCAUGACGAAGCUUUGUGUGACGGUAGUGGGUAAAGAAGCACCGGCUAACUACGUG
This 466-nucleotide ribosomal RNA is filed under the name uncultured bacterium. RNAcentral describes it as "partial 16S ribosomal RNA". It matches the Rfam family "Bacterial small subunit ribosomal RNA", at positions 29 to 507 of the family's 1533-position model. The record is from RNAcentral.